Molecule: long non-coding RNA, 2201 nt
Filed under: Cricetulus griseus (Chinese hamster)
Lineage: Eukaryota; Metazoa; Chordata; Mammalia; Rodentia; Cricetidae
Description: lncRNA (ENSCGRG00015040871.1)
Source: RNAcentral
CUCACCUAUUUUUUUUCCUUUUCCAUCUUGAUUCAGUUGGUUAUUUCAUCUUACUACAUCUCUUCUGAAAACAGGAUUGUUUUUCUGAGAAAAAAAUACUUUAUUUCAACUGUUAAAAGAAAUAUGCUUGUGGUUACUAACUUAUCUAAAGGCUCACUACCUCCAACCCUGAUUCCCAUCUCCUAUUUUACUCCUUCCCAGUGGUUGAUCACUGAAAGUGGGGGUAGGGAAGACGACAUGCUCUGUUACAGAGAGGAGGCCAGUAGAAGAAACCUGGGCCACUUCUUUCAUCUCACAUGAGUAUCACAAAACUUCAUGCUUGAGUUCUCAUAAAGAGUAAGUGAGCACAUUACCCGGGAAAUUUUACAGAGAACCAUGUGCUUCAGGAAAGGCUGAAUGGCAAGACGAUGUCUGAGAAAAGAGGUCAGCAACACAUCACUGAAAUGCUUAACCUGACAGUGCAAAGAAGCUAACAACAAGCUGCAAGAGGAUAUGUGAUGAAACAUUUUGUGAAUCUUUGCUACCAGUAGUGAUUGGCUAGAACAUCCUGUCAUUGAGCUACAGUCAAAAUAAUUGAAUUAUGAACCCAUGAGAUAACAAAAAAAACAUUAAAAAAAAUGUCACCUGUAAAAGGAGAAACAUUGAGAAAAACAUUAAAGAGGAAUAUUUGUCUUAAACAGAGAACCACCCAGAGCCUGCAAAAGCAGAAGCACAUGCACACAGCAAGAGACCUACUCUGGAGAGCCGCCAUCGCUAAUGGAAAGACAUGACGUGACUGAAGAUCCACAUUUUCCAUAGGAGAGCAGAAUGCUGGCAACUUAGUUAAAUGGCCAAUGUACAAGCAGUUUUCAGCCCAGUGAAAGCUCAGCUUUAAUAGCAAGAAGGCAGGCUCUGGGAGGAGUAAGGCCUGGAAUAUCAACCCAUCUUGUGCCAGGAAACCAAAAGCACUAGAGUUUCACACCAUGAAAAAUUUACCCUUGGCCUGAAAAUAGUUUUGAAACAGGGUAGGAUUUUGCUUCUUUCUUUCAGCCCUUUCUCUUAGUUCCUGCCUUGCCUUUCAAAGCACUCUUGAAAUUUACUUUUCUACCCAUUUCAAUCCAUCUUACUGCCAGGGUAUUAAGUUAGCAUUAUUUCUCAUUGCAACCAAAAAACAGCCAAGCUGCUCACCUUAUUCCCUCGAAAGAACAAAUGCCAAUUCCCACCAUCAGAGACAUUUGUAUUCCCAUUGUCUUCUACCUGCUUGCUACAGUUGGGAUAGUGAAAUCUAAAGUGAAUGUUUAGUGUUAGGAGUAUUUGCUUCAAGAUGAAAAUCAUUAAAAUUAUAAAAAUAGCCACAGAUUAUUAAGUCACUGGUCUAAAACAACUGCAUCAAUCUCCAACUGAAACCACUGUAUACCUGAGGAGAUUAACUCAUCCCAUGGCAUUGAGCUCCCGGCCACAUGAAAAUGUGAUGAGUCUGGGAAAGGUUGUUUUUCAGAAUUGAGGAGUUGCUGUCAAGGAGUGUUUAAGUAGGCUUUCUCAUUUUCAAAUCCAGCUUUGCUGACUGAGCUCCAAAAGCACAUUUGGGAAGAGAGCAGAGUAAAUCAGGGAAACAAUGAGCUUCAUCUCCCAGAACACCUGACAACUCUCACCACCAGCCUUGCCUUUUUUCUUCCAACAGAGUAUCUAUUAUAAGUCUUCUUUAACCCAAUUAGAUGCCAUCAAUUUUCCACUCCAGUAUCCCCACAACCUCUUUCUCUUCCUCAUGCAAUUUAAAAAAAAAGAAUCACAGCUGAAAUACUCCCUGUAUGUUCAUCAGUCAGAGCUCAUUGUCAAAAUUCAUGUGGCCUGUUUAAAAGAUUAAAUGAGUACAGCUGUCUUUCCAGUUAGGAUUCACUUUCUAAAUGAGCUUGUAAUGUCACAAGUUAGACAGCUUCAUUUCCAACAGAUAUCAUUGAUAGUAAGUUGAUAUUCUAGGUCUGUGAAACCUACUUGUACAUCAGUAACCAAGUUUAAAUUUCUGGCAAUGCUACAGGGUCAAAACUUUCUUCCUAACAUAAAGGAGACAGGGUCUAUCAAUCAAACAUGCUGACAUUUGCUUGUGGGAGGUUCAAAAGUCUUAAACAAAAAGAAAUGGAAACAUUUGGAAUCUGAUGAUCAGCUUGUUUAUGUUCAGCAGUAGGGAAGCCUAUAGAAUACAUAUAACCCCAAUGUAAAGUGAG